This 223-nucleotide ribosomal RNA is filed under the name uncultured Bacillota bacterium. RNAcentral describes it as "uncultured Firmicutes bacterium partial 16S ribosomal RNA". It matches the Rfam family "Bacterial small subunit ribosomal RNA", at positions 28 to 233 of the family's 1533-position model. Lineage: Bacteria; Bacillati; Bacillota. The record is from RNAcentral.
GAUGAACGCUGGCGGCGUGCUUAACACAUGCAAGUCGAACGAAGCAUUUAAAAUGAAGUUUUCGGAUGGAGUUUUGAAUGACUUAGUGGCGGACGGGUGAGUAACGCGUGGGUAACCUGCCUCAUACAGGGGGAUAACAGUUGGAAACGACUGCUAAGACCGCAUAAGCCUACAGUGCCGCAUGGCACAGAAGGAAAAAAUUUAUUGGUAUGAGAUGGACCCG